Molecule: ribosomal RNA, 398 nt
Filed under: Imbricatea sp.
Lineage: Eukaryota; Cercozoa; Imbricatea
Description: partial small subunit ribosomal RNA
Rfam family: Eukaryotic small subunit ribosomal RNA
Source: RNAcentral
AUUUCAGCUCCAGUAGCGUAUAUUAAUGUUGUUGCAGUUAAAAAGCUCGUAGUUGGAUUUCUGACUUGACGCGCCUGGCCCGCCUUGCAUUUCGCGGGUGAGUGCCGGAGCGCGUCGGUCAUCCUUCUAGAGAACGGCGCUACCCUUCACUGGGUCGGCGUCGCAAUCUAGAUCUUUUACUUUGAAAAAAUUAGAGUGUUCAAGGCAGGCUCGCGCUGUGAAUACAUUAGCAUGGAAUAAUAAUCUAGGACUUUGUUCCUAUUUUGUUGGUUUCUAGGAAUUAAGUAAUGAUUGAUAGGGAUAGUUGGGGGUGCUAGUAUUCAGCGGCCAGAGGUGAAAUUCUUGGAUUCGCUGAAGACUAACUUAUGCGAAAGCAUUCACCAAGGAUGUCUUCAUCA